Molecule: transfer RNA, 77 nt
Filed under: Alteromonas macleodii
Lineage: Bacteria; Pseudomonadati; Pseudomonadota; Gammaproteobacteria; Alteromonadales; Alteromonadaceae
Description: tRNA-Arg
Rfam family: tRNA
About the family: Transfer RNA (tRNA) molecules are approximately 80 nucleotides in length.
Source: RNAcentral
GGCCCCGUAGCUCAACUGGAUAGAGCAUCGGCCUUCUAAGCCUACGGUUGCAGGUUCAAGUCCUGCCGGGGUCACCA